CAGGUGGUGAACUUUCGGGGGACUGAACGGGUACCUCACGCUGCCGCUACCGCUGGGCCAGUCCAGAGGUACCGCCCUCAGCCCGGAUUAAAGUUAAUGCUGACGGUUGGCCGCACCAGGGCGAUUCCCUUAACGAGUUUAGCGUCCAAGCCUAUCCCGUUUAUGUCAUCGUGCAUAAAAUUAUGUCGUCACCUGUUAUUUAUACUAUAUCGCAAGCAUGAACACGCGGAGUUUUUGUGAGUCGUGACCAUCCACUGCCCAUUGAGGAUUGAAAAUGGACAUGCAGCGACAUGAAGCCUUAAGUGAAACCAAUUAAGAAAUAGCACCAAAGUAUGGAUCCAUGCUAUCACUAAUGUCCAAAAAGAAAAACCAUAAACAAAACAAGUGCUAGUGCCCAGUUGAAGCCGGAGCCACACCAAAAAAGAAGAAAACAAGAAAACCUUCUCACUCCCUCCUCAUUCAUCCCCUACCACA
RNAcentral lists this small RNA (474 nucleotides) under Histoplasma capsulatum var. duboisii H88. RNAcentral's name for it is "Histoplasma capsulatum H88 hypothetical RNA". Lineage: Eukaryota; Fungi; Ascomycota; Eurotiomycetes; Onygenales; Ajellomycetaceae. The record is from RNAcentral.